UACGUAGGGUGCGAGCGUUAAUCGGAAUUACUGGGCGUAAAGCGUGCGCAGGCGGUGAGCUGUGUCCGAUGUGAAAGCCCCGGGCUUAACCUGGGAAUGGCAUUGGAAACUGGCUCGCUGGAGUGUGGCAGAGGGGAGUGGAAUUCCGCGUGUAGGGGUGAAAUCCGUAGAUCUACGAAGGAACGCCAAAAGCGAAGGCAGCUCUCUGGGUCCCUACCGACGCUGGGGUGCGAAAGCAUGGGGAGCGAACAGG
This 253-nucleotide ribosomal RNA is filed under the name uncultured bacterium. Its description in RNAcentral is "partial 16S ribosomal RNA". It matches the Rfam family "Bacterial small subunit ribosomal RNA", at positions 524 to 776 of the family's 1533-position model. The record is from RNAcentral.